Molecule: ribosomal RNA, 45 nt
Filed under: Anselmella miltoni
Lineage: Eukaryota; Metazoa; Arthropoda; Insecta; Hymenoptera; Eulophidae
Description: partial 28S ribosomal RNA
Source: RNAcentral
CGACGACCUCAGAUCAGGCGAGAAUACCCCCUAAAUUUAAGCAUU